GACGAACGCUGGCGGCGUGCCUAAUACAUGCAAGUAGAACGCUGAAGGAGGAGCUUGCUUCUCUGGAUGAGUUGCGAACGGGUGAGUAACGCGUAGGUAACCUGCCUGAUAGCGGGGGAUAACUAUUGGAAACGAUAGCUAAUACCGCAUAAGAGUAGAUGUUGCAUGACAUUUGCUUAAAAGGUGCAAUUGCAUCACUACCAGAUGGACCUGCGUUGUAUUAGCUAGUUGGUGGGGUAACGGCUCACCAAGGCGACGAUACAUAGCCGACCUGAGAGGGUGAUCGGCCACACUGGGACUGAGACACGGCCCAGACUCCUACGGGAGGCAGCAGUAGGGAAUCUUCGGCAAUGGACGGAAGUCUGACCGAGCAACGCCGCGUGAGUGAAGAAGGUUUUCGGAUCGUAAAGCUCUGUUGUAAGAGAAGAACGAGUGUGAGAGUGGAAAGUUCACACUGUGACGGUAUCUUACCAGAAAGGGACGGCUAACUACGUG
RNAcentral lists this ribosomal RNA (495 nucleotides) under uncultured bacterium. RNAcentral describes it as "partial 16S ribosomal RNA". It matches the Rfam family "Bacterial small subunit ribosomal RNA", at positions 28 to 507 of the family's 1533-position model. The record is from RNAcentral.